Molecule: ribosomal RNA, 466 nt
Filed under: uncultured bacterium
Lineage: Bacteria
Description: partial 16S ribosomal RNA
Rfam family: Bacterial small subunit ribosomal RNA
Source: RNAcentral
GACGAACGCUGGCGGCGUGCUUAACACAUGCAAGUCGAACGGUAAGGCUCCAGCUUGCUGGGGUACACGAGUGGCGAACGGGUGAGUAACACGUGGGUGACCUGCCCUGCACUUCGGGAUAAGCCUGGGAAACUGGGUCUAAUACCGGAUAGGACCAUGGUGUGGAUACUGUGGUGGACAGUUUUUUCGGUGUGGGAUGGGCCCGCGGCCUAUCAGCUUGUUGGUGGGGUAAUGGCCUACCAAGGCGGCGACGGGUAGCCGGCCUGAGAGGGUGGACGGCCACAUUGGGACUGAGACACGGCCCAGACUCCUACGGGAGGCAGCAGUGGGGAAUAUUGCACAAUGGGCGGAAGCCUGAUGCAGCGACGCCGCGUGGGGGAUGACGGCCUUCGGGUUGUAAACUCCUUUCACCAUCGACGAAGGGUUUCUGACGGUAGAUGGAGAAGAAGCACCGGCUAGCUACGUG